GUUUACGGCCAUGCCACCUUGAACAAGCCCAAUCUCGUCUGAUCUCAGAAGCUAAGUCGGGUUGGGCCUGGUUAGUACUUGGAUGGGAGACCACCUAGGAAGACCAGGUGCUAUAGGCC
RNAcentral lists this ribosomal RNA (119 nucleotides) under Pteropus alecto (black flying fox). The record is from RNAcentral. Lineage: Eukaryota; Metazoa; Chordata; Mammalia; Chiroptera; Pteropodidae.